Long non-coding RNA from Oncorhynchus keta (chum salmon), 352 nucleotides. RefSeq lists it as uncharacterized. The transcript has 3 exons. The record is from RefSeq and is a predicted model, not a curated record. Lineage: Eukaryota; Metazoa; Chordata; Actinopteri; Salmoniformes; Salmonidae.
AGCGUAGAGGCGGCAGGGUAGCCUAGUGGUUAGAGCGUAGAGGUGGCAGGGCAGCCUAGUGGUUAGAGCGUAGAGGCGGCAGGGUAGCCUAGUGGUUAGAGCGUAGAGGUGGCAGGGUAGCCUAGUGGUUAGAGCGUAGAGGUGGCAGGGUAGCCUAGUGGUUAGAGCGUAGAGGUGGCAGGGUAGCCUAGUGGUUAGAGCGUAGAGGUGGCAGGGUAGCCUAGUGGUUAGAGCGUAGAGGUGGCAGGGUAGCCUAGUGGUUAGAGCGUAGAGGUGGCAGGGUAGCCUAGUGGUUAGAGCGUAGAGGUGGCAGGGUAGCCUAGUGGUUAGAGCGUAGAGGUGGCAGGGCAUC